UGGGGAAUUUUGCGCAAUGGGCGAAAGCCUGACGCAGCAACGCCGCGUGGAGGAUGAAGGUCUUUGGAUUGUAAACUCCUGUCAGCAGGGAAAAAGCGACUGGACCUAAUACGUCUGGGAGUUGAUUGUACCUGCAGAGGAAGCCCCGGCUAACUCUGUGCCAGCAGCCGCGGUAAUACAGAGGGGGCAAGCGUUAUUCGGAAUUAUUGGGCGUAAAGGGCGCGUAGGCGGCUUUGCAAGUGACGGGUGAAAGCCCUCGGCUUAACCGAGGAACUGCCUGUCAGACUGUGAGGCUUGAGACCGGGAGAGGUGAGUGGAAUUCCCAGUGUAGCGGUGAAAUGCGUAGAUAUUGGGAGGAACACCAGUGGCGAAGGCGGCUCACUGGACCGGAACUGACGCUGAGGCGCGAAAGCGUGGGGAGCAAACAGG
RNAcentral lists this ribosomal RNA (429 nucleotides) under uncultured Acidobacteriota bacterium. Its description in RNAcentral is "bacterial SSU rRNA". It matches the Rfam family "Bacterial small subunit ribosomal RNA", at positions 355 to 776 of the family's 1533-position model. Lineage: Bacteria; Pseudomonadati; Acidobacteriota. The record is from RNAcentral.